AAGCAUAUGGAAUUCUAUUCUGUAUCUACCCACCCUGCGUACUACUUUACUGUCGCUUCCAUGGGACAUGGCUCUGCCACAUCGGCCUCUCGGCCGCUGAGCGCCCAUGGGAGACCAGUACACAAACUCUUGUAUUUUUUGACGUCUGUCUGAAUUGUUAUUUUAAAAACAUUUA
This 175-nucleotide unclassified non-coding RNA is filed under the name uncultured Sordariomycetes. Its description in RNAcentral is "sequence contains ITS1". Lineage: Eukaryota; Fungi; Ascomycota; Sordariomycetes. The record is from RNAcentral.